ACCAUGAAAAGGCAAAAUCGCUGAAAAGUGAUGACGCAAAGCUAAAGGGGCUAAAGCAUAAUUAACUAUGCCAGGGCCAGCCAGCUGCCGGU
This 92-nucleotide non-coding RNA is filed under the name Bacillota bacterium. Its description in RNAcentral is "Firmicutes bacterium c-di-GMP sequence". It matches the Rfam family "c-di-GMP-I riboswitch aptamer". From Rfam's summary of the family: GEMM was predicted in a large-scale screen for bacterial structured RNA regulatory elements. The record is from RNAcentral. Lineage: Bacteria; Bacillati; Bacillota.